RNAcentral lists this long non-coding RNA (1039 nucleotides) under Cucumis sativus (cucumber). RNAcentral's name for it is "long non-coding RNA (CSAT_LNC000870)". The record is from RNAcentral. Lineage: Eukaryota; Viridiplantae; Streptophyta; Magnoliopsida; Cucurbitales; Cucurbitaceae.
GGGGUAUUGGCAAGAAACAACUUUAUAUUACACUCACAAAGAAGAAACAAACUGGGAGUAUAGCUACCUACUUCUAAACAUUUGAGUAUUGGAACAUUCAUCCAUCAACUUGUUCUUGCAAAGGUUGGCUCUGUAUUUGUUCUUGCAAAGGUUGACUCUGUAUUUGUUCUUGCAAAGGUUGACUCUGUAUUUGUUCUUGCGAAGGUUGACUCUGUAUUUGUUCUUGCGACGGUUGACUCUGUAUUUCUUCUUGCAAGGGUUGACUCUGCAUCACGGCAAGAAACAGAUCAACAAUCUUCCAAUUUGAGAAAUGUUUGUAAGAGACAGAAAUACAUGGUUAUGACAUGAAAACAUGAGAAAAUCAAGAAAGAAGAAGCAUGCGACAACUAACAACUCUCAUUCCACAAGAGUGCUUCUAUACCUAGUGCUUUUAAAGUAUAAAGUGCAAUAGUCUUCCGGGGUUUAGGCACAAUGUGUGAAGGAAAAAAAGGUUCUUUUUGUGAGGCACACUAAUGCAAUAGUACAUAAAGGGAAAGCAUAGUUGAAGUAAAAAUAUGAAGAAAAAAAACAAAAAACAAAGACCUAAACACAAGAAAUUUGCAUUUAGGUUUACUAAUAUUGACUUUUUUUAGUUAAUAAAGGAAAACCCUAAUAAUUACUAUUUUAAAAAAAAAUGAAAAAGACUCAAGCACUUGAGCCACGCCUUAUUUUGUGAGCCUCGCUUUUUUAAGGAAAAACGAGGCACCAAAUCUGUAUCUUACCCUUAGGCGCACCAUUUGCACCUUGCAUCUAAGUGCACGGCCCAGAGAGCUAUUAAAACACUGACCGUACAACAGGCCAACUUCAAGUGGAUUACGCACAUCCACUUUAAUGGAGAAAUCAAAUGAUAUUCUUUAUGGAUUACAAACAUCAUAGCAAUAGAGUGCCUUCAAUUGACACAUAUCCUAAAUGGAUGAAUUAACAAACAGAAGACCACCGAUUUAAAGGGAUGAAAAAUAAAUAGCAAGCUACGACCAACAAAGAUCUUAGAAUAAAUGGG